GUCCAUGCCUUAAACGAUGUAUACUAGGAGUAGGAGGGCUCAACCCCCCCUGUUCCGGAGCUAACGCAUUAAGUAUACCGCCUGGGGAGUACACUCGCAAGGGUGAAACUCAAAAGAAUUGACGGGGGCCCGCACAAGCAGUGGAGCAUGUGGUUUAAUUCGAUGCAACGCGAAGAACCUUACCUGGGCUCGAAAUGUAGAGGACGACAUCAGAGAUGAUGUUUCUCGAAGGGUCUCUAUAUAGGUGCUGCAUGGCUGUCGU
This 262-nucleotide ribosomal RNA is filed under the name uncultured bacterium. Its description in RNAcentral is "partial 16S ribosomal RNA". It matches the Rfam family "Bacterial small subunit ribosomal RNA", at positions 793 to 1055 of the family's 1533-position model. The record is from RNAcentral.